UUGCAAGGGCAAUAAUUGUCAUCAUAGUAUAAAUUUUCUUAAGUGCAUAAUUAUGGACCCAAAGCAAGGAGUGCAGCCAACUGGGCCGAUGAUGUGAAUGUUUAAAUAUUAUGAACAGAGUUACUAUGAAGAUUUUAUUGAUAUACAUGCCAGUUAGAUGCAACAACUACAAUCAGAAGAAAGUAUUAACUAUUAUCGAUAGCAGGGCAAGUGGUGCUAACUUUCCUCCACACACGCGCCUCAGCGGUUGGUCAAAAUUUUUCAUGACUAUUAGCUGCUCUAACGAGGAGAAGCAGGGUUCACAAAGGUUUGAAGUGGUCUCUUCACAAAUGGAUGGCUCAACAGCUGGGUUGCUGUGGGCCGAUCAUUUGAAUUUACUUGCAAGCAUUUAAAGAUGAAAUCCUGGGCGUCUUUUGAUAAUGAAUCAGGUACGAGAGGAGGUUGACCCCUGCCAAUCCUAAACAAUGCUUGCUUCCCUUCCAAGUGAGAGUAUGGUAGUUGACGAGUUAACAUCUCCAACACCGUACAUCCAAGGCUCCAUAUAUCAGCUGCAAGUCCAUAGCCACGAUUCUUUAAAUUAACAACUUCUGGGGCCAUCCAAUAUGGAGUCCCUUUGGAAGAUUUAACGUCCUUUAAUUUAGUAGCCUUGGCCAACCCAAAAUCUGCGAGCUUUACGGAUCCAUUCGCAUCCACUAGAAUAUUGGCACAUUUGAUAUCCCUAUGAACCACAUCCUGAUCAUGGAGAUAUUUUAAACCACUUAAUAUUUGUCUUGUGUAUGCGGAGACUUGGGAAUCCCUCAAAUGGUACUUCUGAUAAAGUUUGGCAAGUGAACCUUUUGUUGCUAGCUCAAGGAAGAUGUAAAGCUUAGAUUCAUCCUUGUCUGUCCCAAGAUAUUGAAUUAUGUUCUCGUGUUCAAACUUUCUUAAUAGAGAAAUCUCCUGCUCAAGUUGCAAAAUGCUCUGCUUCCCUUGGCUUCCNNNNNNNNAAAGAAACUUCUCUUACAGCAAAAAAGAAUCCAUCAUCGGUGAAUCCUUCAUACACUGUUCCAAAAGAUCCACUUCCUAAAAGCUUCCCCUUUUGCCACGAACUAAUGCUUCUUCUGAAUUUCCCAUUUGGAGAAAUGCUAUAAACUGGCUCCAUUACUGUUAAACUUUUAUAAUCUCCACGAUCAUUGCCGGCGGCGUUGUGAUCGUCAGUAUUAUUUGACGGAGACGAGCAACCUUCAGAAAGGACUUCUUUCUCCAGGAUCCUACCUUCAAAGAGAGAUGAGGCCGUUGCUU
This 1281-nucleotide unclassified non-coding RNA is filed under the name Hevea brasiliensis (rubber tree). Lineage: Eukaryota; Viridiplantae; Streptophyta; Magnoliopsida; Malpighiales; Euphorbiaceae. The record is from RNAcentral.